UCUCUUUUCUCUUCAGAUACAUCUAAGAUCAUGUUCCUUUGCUUAUCCACUUCCUUCUCAAGGUCCUUUAUCUUCAAUUUCAACUCAUCUUCUAGAUUCUUUGUUAGCUGCAUAUGUUCCUUGCUUAAUUGUUGUAAAUGGUCCUCCAUUUGUCUGAUCUGUAAAUCACGAGAACGAACCUCGGCCACGAGAUUGUUUACUGUUGCAGUAACACAAUCUUUGUCUGUCAUAAGCAUAUCAUAUUUCAAUUUCAUUUUGUCAAGGUUCUUAUUCAAAGCGUCUAUGUGUAUACCUUUCUCAUUAAGUUCUGUAGGAUAUGUAGGAUAUGGCAUUUGAAAUUUAUGAUUCCUAUUUGUGGAGCAAGAUGAAUGUAUGAUUUGGUUAAGGUUGAAUGCCUUUGUAUGUGAUGUUUGAAAUGUGGUGCUAACGAGGGCUAUGUUGAUUAGGUUAUAUGAAAUUGACAUGUUUUGAGGUGUAUUUGAUGACUUUUAUAGAGUGGUUAUAGGUUUGGUUUGGUAGCCAAGAUAGGUGUGAAAUUUACCUUGUUUUGGAAGCAAAAAUUGGUGCACAUGGCGAGGGAUACGGGCUAUACACGGCCAACCCACACGGUAAUGAAUCUUAAUGAUUUUAGCUGCAGGGCACACACGGUCUAAGACACAACCAGCGACAUGGUAGUGUGACCCAACAACAAAUGGACAUAGGGGCAGUCACACGGCCAUGUGACCUUAAUUUAAAUAUACACACGGGUGGACACACGGUUAUGUGUCUCGACUUUGAAUGUCCACACGGUCUGGGCUGUUACACACGAUCGUGUGUCCCUUGUUUUCAAAAUUUUCAUCUAUUUUCUAACUUUUCCAUUUUGUUUCAAAUUACACCAGAAUGUUUCCAAUCUAUUUUUAGGGCCCCAUAAACUCAGUUUAAGGCCUGUAAGUGUAUGUUAAUUGUGAAUUGAUUGUGAAUUGAUUAAUUGUAAUUAUAUUGAAUAAUUGUUUGAAAUGUUAUCGUAAUACUCCGUGACGUCAAUUCAGCGACAGACACUAGUUAGGGGCGUUAAGUUUAAAUUGUCUUUUAUAAAUUUUAUAUAAAUGCAUGAAAAAAACAAAAAGAAACACUCUAUAAUAAUAUUUAUUUAUCAUUAAAACUUAGUUUUUUAAUACUUUUCUUGAUCGAGUUAGUGUCGAGCUAACUCAUGAUACAGUCUAAAUUCAUGACGCCAAUUCAAUCAUACACUAAAUAAUAGUAUAAAUGUUAUUGUUCAUGAAAAAAUCAAAAUAUAAAUGUUGAAUCCGAAAAUGAAAUCAACGGUUAAGAUUUGAAAUAUAAGUAGAGAUGGUAAUGGAGUGGGGCGGAAUGAUUUUUUGUCCACCCGAAUUGAUAUACCUCUAACAUAAUCCGACUUUGAUCCAACUCAAAAUUAAAUAUUAAUUUACUUAUCUUGAACCUGACUCGAAAAAUCAAAGUUAUACCCUAUUUUGAUAGAUAUACCAAUACUUUUAAUUGUUUUUAUAUAUUUUUAUCAAAAUAGAAUAAUAGUUUUAAAGUUUUUAAUGAUAACAUGACUUUUUUUUGUAGUUAUAGUUAUGGUAGGGAAAAUAUUUUUAUAAUUAUCAUAUUUUAUAAUCUAAUAUUAGAUAUAAAUGGUUAUUUUGGCAAUUUUUUUUAAAUGGGAGAAAGAAUUAUAUGAAAUUGUGAUUCCACGUUAUCUGUACCCUUUUCUAAUACGAAAAUGACAAAUCAGAAUUUAAGAUUUAAUCCAUGUACUUUAAAAGUUAAAAUUUCAAUUAUCCUACUUCUACGAUUUAAAAAUUCUAGUCCAAUUAUUAUUAUCUAUAAUUUUUUGUCAAAAAAUUCAACUUAACAUCAUAUGAAAUGUUAUAUGAUGGCAGUCUAAUCAACAUGCCAAAUUGGAAGAUUUUGAUGGAAAUUAUUAACAAUGUUAAAGAUUGGAAUGAAAUUUUUAAAUCAAAAAAGUAAGAUAGCUAAAUUCCAAAUUUUAUCUAAGUCAAAGGGACUAACAACAUAUUUUCACAAAAGGAAUUGAUAGACUAAUUUAGGUUUUAAAAUAAGAAAAAUUUUCAUUUCCAGCUAUAUUCAACUUGUAUAAAUAUGGAAGCUAGCAUAUAAGGAUAAUAACUUUUCAUGGAAUCUAAGGACAAAAAAUAAUUAACAAUAUAUUUACAGUUCAAACCUCAUAAUUUUCAACCUUAAAACAUUACAUUGAUUAAACACACAAUUAAAAAGUAUCAAGCUUUAAGAACAACCACACACUUUUUUUGUGAAAUUGAAGCCGCAAUUUUUAGCACCUACCAUGGAUUGCUGAUUUUCUGCAUUCCCAAUGAGCAAUAUACUUGCAUCCUAGUUCUGCACAUUCAAGAAAAAUAUAUUCACAAGGCUUACCACAUUCAACACAUUUAUGGUAGUAAGGAAAUUUCUUGACAAAAGUGAAAGGGUAUGGAUGGUCUACCUCAUUGUAGGUGCUCCCGAGUUUGAUGAAUGGAUAUUUUCCAAGAAUACAAUCCACGUGAGCAAAAGUCUCACAAGUUUCACAAUGAUAAAACCAGUUCUUUGAAUCCCUUUUUUCCUCACAAAUGUCACUAUACAAGCCCAUUUUGCCCGGGGCCCAAUAUGGUCCAAAUAAAACCAACCCAAUACCCACCUAGACCUAACCCAAAAUCUAAAGCCCAAUACCCAAAAUACCCCAGACCCUCGGACCCCCUCCCUUGCAGAGAAUAGAAGUGUUUUUUUUUUUAACAGAAGAGAAAUGAAAUAUUUUUAAAGGAUUUUGACUUAUAUAGGGCCCUUCAAACGACGUCGUUUAAGGGCUGGUUUUAAUGGCUCAAAACGGCGUCGUUUUAGCCUUAGGAUCCGCGUGUUAACCCGACCCGUAAGGAGGAUCAGCGUGUUUUGUUGAAACGGGGAAAUUGUGCUUUUGGCCCCUCCGUGUUUUUAAUGUUUCGCAAUCGGAUUUUCUUAUUUUUAAAAUUUACCCUUUAAUUUGUUUUGAUUUCAAUUUGACCCUCUCUGGGACAACGUCGUUUGAUAAGCAAGGGGGUAUUUCCCUCUUCGGUCAUCUGCCUUUCAUGCGUGUUACAAUUUAAUCUUUUUUUAUAUAUAUCUUUAAUUACGGCCCUAAAACAUUGUUUGAUUUUCGAUUUGAUCCUUAAUUGGCUAUUAUAAUUAUCCUUCCUAUUAAAUUGAUUAUUUUAAUUGCAUUAAUGUUAUUAUACAGCGCUAUUAUUUAUUAGUAACAUUAUUAUUUUUAUUUCAUUUAUGCAUUUUUAUUUCUAAAAGUUUAUAUAUAUAGGCAUACAUUUCUCUAAUAUAUUUAUUUUAAAAUUCUUAUAAGUAUGUUGUUAUUUCAUUUUUUAUAUAUGCUUAUUUUUAUAAUAUACAUAUACGUACAUACUUACAUUUUUGUAUUAUGAUUUGCAUACACAUUUAUAUAUCUAUAUAACAUUUCUUAUCUUCGUAAAAACGCAUAUACAAAUUUAUAUAUACCUAUAUUUUCCAUAAUAUAUAAUACCUAUACAUAUUCUUGAUUUUUAUAAAUAUAUACAUGCUACCAUAUAUCUCUUAUUACAUUUUAUAGUAUAUAUAUAUACGCACUUUCAUACUUAUAUAUUUCAUAAUUUCUAUAUACAUACACACAUAUUUUAAUUCAUAUACAUAUAUAUAUACAAAUAUAUACAUAUAUAUAUUUUAUAUAUUCUAUUUUUUUAUUUUUUUAUUUCUACUACAAUUGUGUGUUUCACGCAAUGCUUGUUUUCUAUUUUAUGCCCGUUUUACUCGAAUAGUUUAUCUGUUUAUUACCUUGCAUGAUCAAUUCGAGUUUUAUUUAUCUUUUAUUUGCUGUUGCUCAUGCUAUUUGUGUUUGCAUCAUCGUAUAUACCAUUGCUUUGUCACGCAUAUCAACAAUAUAAUCUAUUUUCUUAUUUUUUAUGACAUCGUGUUUUAUUUUAGUCGAUAUGUCAAAAUUUGUCUUAAAAAAUAGUAUUUCGUAUUUUGAUAUUCGAAAAAUCGUACCCUAACUUACGGGGUUUCGAUUUUCUCGAUAAGUCUAAAUACGCGAAUCAUUUCAAACAAAGUUUUUUUUAUGUUCUCGGGAAUUAAAGAAAGAUCGUGUUCUAACUCACGGGACAUGAUUUCUUUCCUAAACCCGAGAUAAUCAAAUAUUUUCUUUAAAAUAAGUAAAUGUUUUUUGGUAUUCAUUUUCGUAUCGAGAAUUCGAGAUAUUGUGUCAUAACUUAAAGAACGUAAUUCUCUUUCUCGAUCAAUGUAACAUAUGCCUUUUUCUCAAUUUUUUAGCAUUUCAAUAAAGGAUCGUAUUUUAUCUCCUUAAAGUUUCCAAUCUUCGACAUUAAAACACUGAUUAAUCAAUUAGGUACCAAUUUUGGGCGUUACUAGGAUGCUAAUCCUUCCUCGUACGUAACCGACUCCCGAACCUAUUUUUCUGAAUUUCGCAGACCAAAAGCAUUGUUUUAAUAAAUCUAAACCAUUUAUUAAAAAACAACUGCUUUACGAGGUGACCCGAUCACAUCUCAUCAAAAAAAGAUUGGUGGCGACUCCCACAUUCGUUUUCAUUUUUUAAAAUCCAAGUCGACCCUAUUUUAUCAAAAAAAUGGUGUCAACAGUCACAACAAUAAUAUUUUACAUAAUCAUUAAUAUUUUCAUAAGUGAGAGUAAGAAUAUAAACAUCGCAUUUGAGUUUAACUGUAGUUGGUAGCAGAACACACCAACCGCAUAAAUUAAAAUUACAAUCCUUACAACAAAAUGCGGUAAUGAUAUCCCUCCCACAAGCACUACUGCUCCUCAUAAUCAUAAUAGAAAAGUAGAGGGCGUUUAUGCCCUGGAAUUUUUACAGCAUCUUGGAGAGUUGCACAUCGAACGCACGUGUGAAUUCCACAUUCAUUACUGCAUUGAUCACAUUCCCAAUCAGAUCUUCCCACGAAUCUAUCUACCUUUCUUUAUUGGGAUAAUAUAGUUUUUGGCCCUUAAACUUAAUAAUUAAAUUUUCUUUGAUACUUGUAUUUUUUUUACUUUGGUCUUUGAAUUUGACAACUAAAUUCAUUUUGAUCCUUAAACUCGGUACUUGAGCAUUUUAUGAAUUUUAAUUAUUUAUUAAAUUAUUAUUGGUCCAACGGUUGUACUGAUCGAAUUGAGAAUCAGUGAUCUCAGUUAUUAAAACACUGAAUUUGACACUCUUAAAAUUAAUGUGUAGUAAAAUUUUAUUUUGGCCCCCAAAAUGAAAAAAUUUAUUUCAGUGCUUUUGUAAAUAAAGAAAUUAUAAAUUAAUAAAUAGUAAAAUUUCUCUUUAGCCCCUUAAAAAUGAAAAAAUAAUAAUUAAUAUAUAGUAAAAUUUCUCUUUAGCCCCUUAAAAAUGAAAAAAAUUAUGUUUAAUUCCUUAAAAAAUCAUGAAAUUAUAAAUUAAUACAUAAUAAACUUAUUUUUUAUCUAUGAAAAAAUUAUAAUUAAUUCCGCCCCUUGUUAAAAAAAAAUUCUAGAUUCACCCCUACCGAAGUGAACAAAAAAAAGUACAGAUACCAAAUUGAACUUUUAGGGGUCAAAAAUUAUAUUAUCCCUUCUUUAUCUUUCAUUUUUAUUUUCUAUUUUUUUACAAUUUUUGGCAUUUAAUUAAGAGAAAAUUGGGGCUCAUUAUCAUCUCUUAUCUCAAGGUAUUCACGGUUUAAAAUUAAGAGAAUUAAGAGAAGUUUUGAGAGGUUAAAGUUAAAAUUAUUUCAUUAAAAUAAAUAUUAAACUUUUGAAAGGAUCAAAAAUAAAAAAAAUCAUUUAACAAAAAAAUUUAAAAAGAAUUAAAUUGAAUUUUUAAUAUUUUAGAAAGACUAAAAUUAAAUUGUACCAUUUAAUCAGGUCCAUAUUCUUCUUAUAAAUCAACCCUUUAUUCAUUGAAAUAUAUAUUUGUUUCUUUGAAAAUAUUUUUUAUGAAAUAUUUUUAAAAAAUUUGUCAAAUUAAUGAAAAUAUUUUACAUCGAUUCUAAACAAAUUUUCCAGUCUAAACAAUUUUUUUUUUAUAUCUAACUAUAUUCUACUUAUAUAAAUAUGGAAGGUGGCACAUAAGGACUAAAUAUUCAUGGAAUCUAAGGAUUAUUAUGAUUUUAGUUAGCAUGCAACAAAUUUAAUAUAUGAAAAUUAAAGAAGAUAUAAGCAAAUCAUAUCAAUUUUAUUCUCAUAUAUUUACAAUUCAAAUCUAAAUACAUUACAUUGUUUAAACACACAAUUAAUAAGUAGCAACCAUUAACAAUAACCACACACUGUCUUGUUCUGAAAUUGAAGUCGCAAUUUUUAGUAUCUACCACUGAUAUCUGCAUUUCCAAUGAGCAAUAUAGUUACAUCUUGGUUCUGCACAUUCAAGAGAAAGAUCUUCACAGGGCUUAUCACAUUUAACACAUUUAGGAUAGUAAUGAAUCUUCUUGACAAAAGCGAGAGGGUGUUCAUGGUUUCCCUCAUUGUAGGUGCUUCCGAGUUUGAUGAAUGAAUAUUCUCCAAGAACGCAAUUCACGUGAACAGAAGUGUCACAAGUUUCACACUGGUAAAACCAGUACUUUGGAUCCCUUUCUUUCUCACAAAUGUCACAAUAAUGAUAUUUUGCAUAAUCAUUAACCUUGUCAUAAGUGAGUGCAAGAAUAUGUUCAUCGCAUUUGUGUCUAACUCUAGUUGGUCGUAUAACACAUAAAUUGCAUAAAUUAAAAUUGCAAUCCUUGCAACGAAAUGCGCAAGAGAUAUCCCCCCCACAACCACUACACUGCUCCUGAUAAUCAUAAUAGAGAAGAAGAGGGUGUUUAUGCCCUGGAAUUUUUACAUCAUUUUGGAGAGUUGCACAUUGAACGCACCUGUGAAUUCCACAUUCAUUACAUUUAUAAGAAAAUCCAUUAGAAAGGUACCCGCAUAUAUCACAUUCGAACAUGCAGUCUGAAGUAAGGAUGAAGGAUUUUGAUCCAGAAAAAGGCUUUCCAGCACAACGAUGAUCCAAAAUAAGGUCCAUCUUAGGUAAUUCAGCACAAGAUUUAUGAAGAAAGAAAUCACACCGCAUGCAAUGGUAGAACUUAGCGGAGAUCAAUAACAAGCACCCAUCACAACAUUUAUCACCAUGCUCGCUGAUUUUGUCACUUAACAUCAAGUAGUGCCUAUGCUUGCAAUGUUCUAUGAGUGUGGCUUCUCCAGCAUCAUUCGUCUCAAGAACCUUAGUGAUGGAGUUAACAGGUAUAUCAAGAGACUUGUCAGCUUCAUUUUCCUGUGAUACUAUGCAAUACAACUUCUUUUCUUUCAAUGCACAAUCCACAUGGAAUAUAACAUUACAAUCUGCACAGAAGUAACUACCGUGCUCUGUAUCGACAACUUCAUGGCACAUAAUGCAAUUCAAACUUUCAAAAUAUUCCUUGUGAAUGAAAUACGUGUGAAAAACACGAUGGACAUGGAAAGAGUGUUGGAGAAUGCGUGGCAAUGAAAUGCAUUUUUUAUGGACCAUAAUACUGCAUGUACAACAUGCAUAGGCAACAUGAUGUCCUUCGGUGCCACAAGCAUCACAAAUGAAUGGAAUUUGUCUCCAAAACAAGGUGAAUGGGUGUUGAUGACUUUUAUCUUCAAUAACUGGUAAUGGCGAUAAACAAUCAAUAUGAAUAGCCAAAUUACAAGUUGAGCAACCAUACAGAAAGCCUCUUUGUUGGGUUACUUGGCAUAUCUUGCAAGAAAGCCGUUCACUAUUAAAUUGCAGAAGAAGAGGAUGUUUGCGAUGGCACACAUGACCCAUUUUGGGAGGAAGCUCAGCACAUUUCUUAUGCAAAUUAAACCCACAAUCAAGAGAGAAGUAUGUAUAAAUUGCUAAUGGUUCCCAACACGCAAAGCACUUACCCAGGUUUCCACCAUCGUUCUUAGAGGAAAACGAUGGAUCCUCAAGGGCCACAUGCUCAAGCUCUUUCAAAUUUCUUUCAGCAAUAUUAAAUGUAAACAAAGCACAUUUAAUAUGAAAGUUCAAGCCACAAGAGCAAUGGUAAAUGAAUUUCUCACAUGUUUCAUCACAGAAAUCGCAAACGCACCUUGUGUAAGAAGAUGGUGGAUUCUGCAAAAGCAGGAGAGGAUGGUGGCGAUGAAAAGGAUGAUUAAGCUCCAAAGGUGCCUGGGCACACGUCUUGUGGAGGUAAAACCCACUGCACUCCACACAGCUAAAACAUGGAGCUGACACCUUCUCCCCACACCUUGAGCAAUCAACAACUCCAUUGCCAUUGCCAAGCAACUGCUCUUCAUUUAACAUCAACAGUGGAUGUUGAUGCCCGUAGUUCUUUAGCUCUUCCAUUUCUCCUUCCUCUCUGUAUCUUUCGAUGUGGUAGAGAAAGAAAAAUUGAAAUUGAAUAACUCAAAGAAAGCAGAAAAUUAGAAGGGAGAGAUUCCAAAUGUUUAUUUGUAGGAGUCUCUUUGAACUUGCUAUGGUACUUUGCUUCGACGGUGUGUUGCCUAUACCCAUAUAUGUUUCUUCUUUAUAAUUACUAUGAAUGGGAUGCAAUGGGUUUGAGUGUACUCUUAAGUAAAUUAUCAAUUUUUUUCCUUUAUUCUUUGCUUUGUGGAUUAACUAAUUUUGUGGAUUAGAUAAUGAAUAUUCUGAUAUUGUUUGUGUGUAAAAAUAUAAGAUAAUAAGAUGAAAGGUAUUUUUAUAGGUUACGAGUUUUUCAAUUGAGAAUGAUAUCAAACAAUCAAAUUAUUCUAAAAAAAUUUGAAUCAAACAAUCAAACCAUUUAUCUAAUCGAAAAUUAAAAGCCUAUUUAAUUUAUUCUGGUGAUUAGAAUAAAAAAAUUUUGAACAAAGCUAGAUAGAUUAAUUAUACAAUUACCGAGCCACCAAUCGGCUCUCUUAGGAUAAUCUGCUACAGAAAUUACUCUUAACUCCCUUGGUAUUUGCUCAACCACUUCAAUCCCAAUGGGGUCAUCGUUCAUUAAACUAACCAUAUAAUUAGAUGUGAAUGAGACAUCUUUAUUAUAGGAAUGAUCCACAUUCGCUGUCCUGCAGUACAAAACUGUUGGAACACUGGCAGCAACAACCAAACAAUGAAACACUAAGAGCAUAAGCUCUUCAAACAGCAAGCAGAAACACAAAGCAUCAAGAGCAUAAGCUCUCGGUUAACAGGCAGAAAAAAGAAAAAGAAAGAACAAUGGCAGCAGCUCUUAGAAAAAGAACAAAACAGAGAACAAAGGAGGAAGAAACAAAAAUAAUUUACUUGCUCACAAACGUGCAGCAAGGAAGCAAUCUAAGUUUCACAACUGAUAUGCUUAAUUUUUCAAUAAGAAAAACAAUACAUUUAUAGCCAACCACAUCAGUUAUUACUACCUAAUACCACUAAGUAGCCUAGUAACUUUAAAAACAUUGCUUGUACACAUGGAUAAGCUGACUUAUCAGCUCAACCAACCCAUCAAAACAUCAACAUCAAAGUUCAUUCUCAACCAAACUAAAUUACAGAAUCAUCAUAGUACCAUGCAUUUUAACAAAAACAUAAUAGCAGCAUGGUUGGCCAUUUUUAACACAAACUGAAUCUACAAGCUAAUGAUAGAAACAUAAACCAAAAUAUAUAGUACAUUGUUUGAUUAAAAUUGAAAACAUGGUUCAUAUUUGUCCACUGUAAUGUUCAGGUGUUCAAUAACAUGCAAAAGAUAUAUAUAUAUAUAUAGUCUAAUGACAGCUUCAAGUUUAUCUAAGCAAAUACGAAUAUAUCACCCAAAACUUCCCACAGAAACUCAAAUUUAAGUACUAAUAAGUUCAUAAAACAAGUUAAACGAAAGAUUACAUCAAGGGAAAAAGACAAUCCAGACAAGUAACUAUACCGAUACUCAUAUUUAAUCGAACUCAUAAAGCGAUAAACGCUUGUCGUUUGUGCUUGAGGAAUGUCUGAAGCUCUUUAUAACCACUCCUGUAAUGGUCCAGACUGAAUGUAAGCUGUCUUAUUACCUCUCUUUUCUCUUCUGACACAUCUAAGAUCAUGUUCCUUUGCUUAUCCACUUCCUUCUCAAGGUCCUUUAUCUUCAAUUUCAACUCAUCUUCUAGAUUCUUUGUUAGCUGCAUAUGUUCCUUGCUUAAUUGUUGUAAAUGAUCCUCCAUUUGUCUGAUCUGUAAAUCACGAGAACGAACCUCGGCCACGAGAUUGUUUACUGUUGCAGUAACACAAUCUUUGUCUUUCAUAAGCAUAUCAUAUUUCAAUUUCAUUUUGUCAAGGUUCUUAUUCAAAGCUUCUAUCUGUAUACCUUUCUCAUUAAGUUC
This 10257-nucleotide long non-coding RNA is filed under the name Gossypium raimondii (Peruvian cotton). Its description in RNAcentral is "long non-coding RNA (GRAI_LNC010219)". Lineage: Eukaryota; Viridiplantae; Streptophyta; Magnoliopsida; Malvales; Malvaceae. The record is from RNAcentral.